RNAcentral lists this ribosomal RNA (440 nucleotides) under uncultured bacterium. Its description in RNAcentral is "partial 16S ribosomal RNA". It matches the Rfam family "Bacterial small subunit ribosomal RNA", at positions 338 to 795 of the family's 1533-position model. The record is from RNAcentral.
CCUACGGGUGGCAGCAGUGGGGAAUAUUGCACAAUGGGGGAAACCCUGAUGCAGCGACGCCGCGUGAGUGAAGAAGUACUUCGGUAUGUAAAGCCCUUUCAGCCGGGAAGAAAAUGACGGUACCUGACUAAGCAGCCCCGGCUAACUACGUGCCAGCAGCCGCGGUAAUACGUAGGGGGCACGCGUUAUGCGGAUUUACUGGGUGUAAAGGGAGCGUAGACGGGAGCACAAGUCUGGAGUGAAAUGCCGGGGCUUAACCCCGGAACUGCUUUGGAAACUGUGCGGCUUGAGUGCAGGAGAGGAAGGUGGAAUUCCUAGUGUAGCGGUGAAAUGCGUAGAUAUUAGGAGGAACACCAGUGGCGAAGGCGGCUUUCUGGAGUGUAACUGACGUUGAGGCUCGAAAGCGUGGGGAGCGAACAGGAUUAGAUACCCCGGUAGUC